RNAcentral lists this ribosomal RNA (232 nucleotides) under uncultured Bacteroidota bacterium. RNAcentral's name for it is "uncultured Bacteroidetes bacterium partial 16S ribosomal RNA". It matches the Rfam family "Bacterial small subunit ribosomal RNA", at positions 796 to 1031 of the family's 1533-position model. The record is from RNAcentral. Lineage: Bacteria; Pseudomonadati; Bacteroidota.
CACGCCGUAAACGAUGAUUACUCGCUGUUGGCGAUACACUGUCAGCGGCUAAGCAAAAGCAAUAAGUAAUCCACCUGGGGAGUACGGCCGCAAGGUUGAAACUCAAAGGAAUUGACGGGGGCCCGCACAAGCGGAGGAACAUGUGGUUUAAUUCGAUGAUACGCGAGGAACCUUACCUGGGCUUAAAUGUAGAGUGCAUUUUCUAGAGAUAGAAAUUCCCUUCGGGGCUUUC